AACGCACAUUGCGCCCCUUGGUAUUCCGGGGGGCAUGCCUGUUCGAGCGUCAUUAUAACCCUCAAGCCUAGCUUGGUGUUGGAGCAUGCUAUCUAGCAGCUCUUAAAAUCAGUGGCAGUGCCUUCCGGCUCUAAGCGUAGUAAUUCUUCUCGCUAUAGAAACCGGUUGGUCCGCGCCAGAACCCCCAAUUUUCUAUGGUUGACCUCGGAUCAGGUAGGGAUACCCGCUGAACUUAA
This 236-nucleotide unclassified non-coding RNA is filed under the name uncultured Helotiales. RNAcentral describes it as "sequence contains ITS2". Lineage: Eukaryota; Fungi; Ascomycota; Leotiomycetes; Helotiales. The record is from RNAcentral.